RNAcentral lists this small nuclear RNA (107 nucleotides) under Camelus dromedarius (Arabian camel). Lineage: Eukaryota; Metazoa; Chordata; Mammalia; Artiodactyla; Camelidae. The record is from RNAcentral.
GUGCUUGCUUCGGCAGCACAUAUACUAAAAUUGGAAUGAUACAGAAAAGAUUAGCGUGGCCCCUGGGCAAGGAUGACAUGCAAAUUCGUGAAGCGUUAAUAUUUUUG